CUACGGGUUGCUGCAGUGGGGAAUAUUGGACAAUGGGGGCAACCCUGAUCCAGCAAUGCCGCGUGAGUGAAGACGGCCUUAGGGUUGUAAAACUCUUUCGCUAGGGAAGAUAAUGACUGUACCUAGUAAAGAAGUCCCGGCUAACUCCGUGCCAGCAGCCGCGGUAAUACGGAGGGGACUAGCGUUGUUCGGAAUUACUGGGCGUAAAGAGUUCGUAGGCGGACUGACAAGUUAGAGGUGAAAUCCCAGGGCUCAACCCUGGAACUGCCUUUAAAACUGUCAGUCUAGAGACCGGAAGAGGUUAGGGGAAUACCUAGUGUAGAGGUGAAAUGCGUAGAUAUUAGGUGGAACACCAGUGGCGAAGGCGCCUAACUGGUCCGGUACUGACGCUGAGGAACGAAAGCGUGGGGAGCAAACAGGAUUAGAUACCCCGGUAGUC
This 439-nucleotide ribosomal RNA is filed under the name uncultured bacterium. RNAcentral's name for it is "partial 16S ribosomal RNA". It matches the Rfam family "Bacterial small subunit ribosomal RNA", at positions 339 to 795 of the family's 1533-position model. The record is from RNAcentral.